UAAAUAUAGGCAAGCGAGACAAGGUUUAGGAAUGUCUUUAUAAGGAAUCAAGAAAGCAUCGAGCACAACUGAGAAUAAAGAGAGAUGGGGUUGGGUUAUAAGCUUACUGCUAUUGAUAAAAGGAACAUGAUGCAAGAAAAGAAAGAAAAAAAUGGCACGCCUCAAAAGGAAUGAAUCAGUUAAUGAAAGAAUGGUGUUUCUUAUCUGUACAAGACAUUUCAAUCCAACGGAUAUAUUCAUCUUUAAUCAUCAAAGGUUGAAAAGGGUGAGUCAGCAAUGGGAUUAGAGAAAGCCUUUUUUUUAAGUUUAUAUUGGGACAGAUGAG
RNAcentral lists this long non-coding RNA (325 nucleotides) under Durio zibethinus. RNAcentral describes it as "long non-coding RNA (DZIB_LNC000828)". The record is from RNAcentral. Lineage: Eukaryota; Viridiplantae; Streptophyta; Magnoliopsida; Malvales; Malvaceae.